RNAcentral lists this ribosomal RNA (246 nucleotides) under uncultured Halomonas sp. RNAcentral's name for it is "partial 16S ribosomal RNA". It matches the Rfam family "Bacterial small subunit ribosomal RNA", at positions 796 to 1041 of the family's 1533-position model. The record is from RNAcentral. Lineage: Bacteria; Pseudomonadati; Pseudomonadota; Gammaproteobacteria; Oceanospirillales; Halomonadaceae.
CACGCCGUAAACGAUGUCGACCAGCCGUUGGGUGCCUAGAGCACUUUGUGGCGAAGUUAACGCGAUAAGUCGACCGCCUGGGGAGUACGGCCGCAAGGUUAAAACUCAAAUGAAUUGACGGGGGCCCGCACAAGCGGUGGAGCAUGUGGUUUAAUUCGAUGCAACGCGAAGAACCUUACCUACCCUUGACAUCUACAGAAGCCGGAAGAGAUUCUGGUGUGCCUUCGGGAACUGUAAGACAGGUGC